AAUCAACGCUGGCGGCGUGUCUAACACAUGCAAGUCGAACGCGAAAGCCCUUUCGGGGGUAAGUAGAGUGGCGUCCGGGUGAGUAACACGUAGGUAAUCUACCUUCGGGUGGGGAAUAACUCGCCGAAAGGCGAGCUAAUACCGCAUAAUGCAGCGGCACCUAAUGGUGAUUAGUUGUUAAAGCGGGGGAUCGUAAGACCUCGCGCCUGAAGAGGAGCCUGCGGCAGAUUAGCUAGNGGUGAGGUAAUGGCUCACCAAGGCUUCGAUCUGUAGCUGGUCUGAGAGGACGGCCAGCCACACUGGCACUGACACACGGGCCAGACUCCUACGGGAGGCAGCAGUGGGGAAUUUUGGGCAAUGGGCGCAAGCCUGACCCAGCAACGCCGCGUGAGGGAGGAAAUCCUUCGGGAUGUAAACCUCACAAGCAAGGGAAGAGAGCUCAGGACCAAAUAAGUCCUGAGUCCGACGGUACCUUGCGUAAGCCACGGCUAACUACGUGCCA
This 502-nucleotide ribosomal RNA is filed under the name uncultured bacterium. RNAcentral describes it as "bacterial SSU rRNA". It matches the Rfam family "Bacterial small subunit ribosomal RNA", at positions 32 to 510 of the family's 1533-position model. The record is from RNAcentral.